Manis pentadactyla (Chinese pangolin) is the source of this 3853-nucleotide long non-coding RNA. RefSeq lists it as uncharacterized. The transcript has 2 exons. Lineage: Eukaryota; Metazoa; Chordata; Mammalia; Pholidota; Manidae. The record is from RefSeq and is a predicted model, not a curated record.
AUGGUCUCUGUGCCCAGGUGUGAUGGUGAGCAGGGGGCCCUAUGGGAACAAAGGAGGGAGGAACUGUCAGCUAUGGGUGCACCAGCUCAGAAUGCUCACCAGAGAGGCUGAGGCAUGGAGUGGGGAGCUGGAUUCAUGACAGCCCCACUGGAAGCAGCCUCAUCCUCAGGCACCCUCCCCAGCAGAUUUUACCUGGGACCUGUCUUGGGCAGCCUGAUCCACAGGCUUCCUCUCAAGCAAUUGUUACUAAUGUGAGUCUUCCUUUCUCAGGUAUACACAUAUCAUACCUGAGUAUCGUUCUCAGGUGGAUGAGGUAAAACAGCCCUGCUCAGAGAAAACAGGCUCAGAAAGUGGCAGUCGGCCCACUCCGGCCUCCGAAUCCGCAACACAUGCCCUGAGAUACCGGCGGCUUCAAGAGGUUUUGCACCUUUACACUAAUGCAAAUGACAGGCCAAGCAACUUUCCCGGACCUUGGAAACCCCCCCCCCGGAGGCCCGAGGGCUUUCUCCUACACUCCCGAGCUGGGACAUCCCUUCCAGAACACUGAGGAUGAAGGCUCCCGCCCGGGAAGGCCUCUCGCCGCGGGCAGGAAGGGGUUACGGCCCCAGCGCCCCCUCCCCCUUCCCGGCCGUCACCUGGCGUGUGGCACGUGGCUGGGGCGGGGGUCCGGGCGGAAGGGAAGGGGACACGGCGGGCUGGGGAAGGCGCUGGGCGCUGCGGCGUAACCAUGACGACCGGGCCCGAGGCGGCUUGUGAAGUCACCAGGACAAGAUUAGCCCCGGGUCACGUGAGCGUCAGGGGCGGGGCGGCGCUUGGGCCCCGCCCCUGGCUCGCCCACGUGCCGGGAGCGCGGACGUGGACCCCCGACCCCAACGGCUGGCAGCGUCUACGCUACUUUCCUUCCCAUGCCGCCGUGGAUCCAUCCCGCAUGCUGCCAAAUCUUCCGUCAGGGCGCCCAGAGAAGGGAGAGCAAUUGGGUUGGCACUGGAGGUGCAGUGCCACUGAGGAAGCGGGACGUGGGGGAAUAGGUGGACUGGACACCGAAAGGGUGACAGGCAUAGCCAGAGAGGGACAAGCCGAGAAACACACAAAAAUCGAAACAGCGUGACGCGCAGGAAGAGCCAAACCUGAGAUGGACGGAGUGAAAAAUUGAUGUUGAAAAGCAGAGGACUCUGAGGAAAAAAAAAGAUGGGAAAGGACUUAAGAAUCUGGAGAUCGUCCCUGCCCUCCCCAGUUCAUUUUCUGUUUAGAAGCUGAGCCUUGAGUAGGCACAGCAACUUGGCCUUUUAAAGGAAUCUUUUGGCCUUGGUCUGGUGUUUGGCAACCAGGAGGCUUAGGCUUGGAGAGGGUGCCAUGCUCAGGGACACUUGAAGCCGGGCUGCCCUCCAGUUCCCCAGGCUCCCCCAGGGGCCCCACUGGUUUCCAGGGCUGGCAGCUGGGGAGAGCCGGAGGGAAGCCAUUUCACCUAUUUGUCUUUUAGGGCAGUGGGAUUGGCUGACGAAGUAGGAGAUGGGACCAAGGGAAAGGGAGGGAGUCUAGCCAGUCUCCGUCCAUCCCCUAUCCAGUUCUUAGGCUAAUGACAACUCUUCCAGAUUGACCUAAAGAGCAGGGGUGGGGUGGGGAUGGGGGAAAGCUGAGGCUUCAGGGAGCCAGACUACUGGAGAUUCCUCUCCCAACACCCCCAGCCCCCCAGUUUUCCUUAUCUCUGACCUGCCAGCUGUGUCUCACUGCCCCCAAGCUGUGUCUUGGCGCCUGAGCUUUGAGGGGCUAUGGCAGCCAGGAGCCCCUGGCCCAGACAUUCGGUCACCUUGGGGGAGGGAGCUGUCUCCCAGCCCAUCAAUUAUGCAGAGCAUGGGGGAAGGGUAGGGAUGUGACAGGCUACUGGGGUGGCUCCUGUCAGUCAAUCUGUCAACCAUAUUUACUAAGUGCUUACUGUGUAGAACUCUAUAUUGGUGAGGGGACAGAGUGGUCUCUAAAUUCUACAUCUUCCAGGAGAGGAGGCUCUCUGGACACCCUGGGAGGCCCUAAUGCUGUUUCAGCUGCCAGCUUCUGCUUUGCUGGUGGUUCCCGGAGGACCCCUCAGGAGGCUGUAGAGGUGGAAUGGGGACAGGAACACCCCACCUCUUAAUUCUCCUUCCAGGUUCUCCUACCUGAGAUGCUGGAGGCUGUGGCAAGGGGAUUAUUCUUUCUCCCUGCCUCCUGUCCCUAACAGUAAAUCUCCCUGCCAAGCUGCUGGUCUGGCUGUCCUGGGGGCUCAGCUGAGAGGCCAGGCCAUCUGUCUCAAUCUUGGGCUCUCACACUGGGCACCCAACACAAUCCUGGCCCUCAUUUUGCACUCAAGAAAAGGAGGAAGAGUCCCCUUCUCUCUUGAGUGGGGGUGGGAAAGGAGGUCUUCACAGAGAAAGGAGACCCAAGUCUUUGAAAUGCUGGUUCCACCUCUGCAGGCUUUGGGGUAAAGGACUCCGACUCUGGCAGCCAUGCCUCUUCGCCACUUGGCUGCAGCCUGUUUUUGUUUUGCUCCUUACAGGCUCCGUGAUCCUAGCUCCAGGGUUCCUCUCAGAUGGAAAGAACUACAGCUUUUCUCAGUGCUCUCAAAAGGGGGAAAUGCUUUCCCCAGAGAACCUGGGGAAAGUUGGAAAGCAUCUAACCUCCAGCCUCAUGCAGGAGACCCCCUAGCCACUGCCCAGCCCCCUCUUCCAGUAGGGAAGGCAGUGAAGGGGCUGGGGGAGAGGUGGCAGUGCUGUUUAGGAAAAAAGAGCCAGCUUUGGGUUUGGAGAGAUCAGAGCCAGAACCUCAGUUUUUCCAUGACUUAAAGAAAUGUACCCCCUUUGUAACUCCUAACCCCACCUGAUGGGGUGGCUUGGGUUAAGUAAGAGAAUAUAGGGGUUGUAGUUUUCCUGGUUGACUGGACACCAUUCUUUCUUUGUGGAUUCUGGAGAGGCCAUCUCUUCUGAUCAGAAAACGGGAGACUUGGUCUGCAACGUACUUCCCCAGGACAAACCUCAGUUUCAGGUGCCAGGGCAACCAGGUCACAACAGCAGUGGUGUGCCAGUGGCCCCCAUCAUUCUUCCACCAGAUUCUUGGUCCUUUGUGUGCAAAUCCUACCAUCCCACCUCCUCUGGACUGUGGGGGGAGGCCUAUCUUUCUGUGUUCCAUCGUCCCUCCCUGCCCGAGGUGGCCCAGGAUCAGCUCUCAGCCCUACCCAUUAUAGUCUGAGGGCAAGGGGAGGGUAAAAACAAGCUAUGAUGGGCCACAGGGGUCCCUCCUCCUCAGGACUUCAGGUGGACCUCAAAGAAGUUCAACUUAUUUUAGCAAAGAGUUCUUGAGCUGGAUGUGCAUUUAAAAAGAUCUAGGAGAGAUACCAAAGUGCAACUGUUUCUAGCUGGGUGGAAUUGUGUUUAUAUUUUCUUGUGGCUUCUCCAUAUUCUCUAACAUUUCAGUGGUAACUUUGAAGUGCUUUUAAAACAAUUUCUAAAAAUCUACUUUAAACUGAAAAAGAGGAAAUAAAAAUUACAGAUUGCCCAUCCAUUCCUGUCACCUAGAUUGGGACAGGUCUAGAAGGAGGGUGGUUGGUCAGAGAAUCAGAGAUGCUUGGUUGAGGUGUUGUCUGUGCUCCAGACCAGCUGGACAACCUGGAGUAGACUUAACAAACUUCAGUUUCUUCAUCUCUAAGUGGUGCUGAUGUCACACAAUGGCAAUGCAGUAUGUCAACGUGGUGGAUAAGAAUACAGGCCAAGUCAGACAGACCUGGGUUCAAAAGCCUAAAUUCUCGGCACAUGCUGAUUUUUUUCUUUGAACAGAUUACUUCAAGUUUCAUUUUCUCAUUCCUAAAAUAAAGAUGAUGAUAACACUA